This is a long non-coding RNA of Homo sapiens (human), 1174 nucleotides long. RefSeq lists it as uncharacterized. The record is from RefSeq and is a predicted model, not a curated record. The transcript has 3 exons. Lineage: Eukaryota; Metazoa; Chordata; Mammalia; Primates; Hominidae.
UCAAACACACAGACACAUCCCUCUGUGACUCCAGAGCACCACAGGCCCUAAAAAGCAGUCUCCACGCCGCGGCUCGCCAACCUCUGAAAGAAGAGGAAAACGGAUACUGGGGGCAGCCAGCAAUCUCUGCCACUGGGACACAGUCUUCACCCCUUUGCCAGGACCAUGGUGAGCCAAGGUCAUGGGGAAAAGGUAACUGCCAUCUGGCGGGGAGAGAGGUGAUUGGAUGAGGAAUCGGAGGAGGCUUCCUGGGAGGUCCGACAUUUCGGCUAAGCCUCGAAGGACAGGGCAGCCCCGCAAGCAGAGAGCGACUCUAAAACAUGAAGACAUCUAGAAGACAGAGAGGAGGAGAUGAGAUCAGAGAUGUAGAAACCCAAGAGGAGGCAGCUGCAAAGUUCCCAGGGAGACAGCAUGGAGGGGAUCAGGCCAGAGCCAAGGAGCCCUUCCAUCCCAAGCAGGCAGUCAGGGAAGACUUCCUGGAGGAGGCAGCCCGAAGCUGUCCCAGCCAAAGCAAGAGCUGUUUAGAGCCCAGGGAGUGGGGCUGCGGGGAGGGUUUGCCCUGGAGGGGACCAGCCACAGAAGGAGGGACCAGCCAAAGCCAGGCCAUGCCCAGGGACAGACAGGCCCCACCGCUGCCUCGAGAUACCCCUACCCCAGCCAAUGUGAGCACCUCACGGAGCACAGGCUGCACCUGGCACCACAUCCCCAUCCCAGUGAAUCUUCCCAGUGACGUCACAAGGUGCAGAUCCUUGCCCAAUUAAUGGAAGAAGAAGCUGGAGCCCAGAGAGGGUCGGCCACUUCACUGAGGCCACACAGCAAGGAUUUGGGUCCGGCAGUCAGAACCAGUGUACCCAGCACUAUUUGACCCUUCCUGGGGCCGGGGGUGUCAUUCAGAAACACUCUGACAUUAUCGUCCUGGUCUCUGGAACAAGAACUGCUCUAUCCACAUCCCAUCCACAGCCAUCCCUUACAAGACAGGGACAGAGAUGGAGUUACCCCAUUGGACAGAAAAACAAACUGAGGCUCCAAGAGGUGAAGUCGCACGCGUGGGUCCGCGGCCCAUCGGUGGCCGGCAGGACUUGAGUCCAGGUCCUUCUGACUCCGUGUCCUGAUUCUCGGUGAUUCUUGCUGAGGCCUUUCUCUCCCCUCCUACCCCUCCUCCCCCCCCCCACCA